This is a long non-coding RNA of Haemorhous mexicanus (house finch), 4821 nucleotides long. RefSeq lists it as uncharacterized. NCBI's taxonomy places the organism in Eukaryota, Metazoa, Chordata, Aves, Passeriformes, Fringillidae. The transcript is spliced from 3 exons. The record is from RefSeq and is a predicted model, not a curated record.
CUCCGCCCAGGAAGAGGCGCGGCCCGUGAGGGGCCUCCCCUGCCGCGCUUUAUUGCGCGCGCGCGGCGGCCGCUGCUGACGCGCCCCGGGCCAGGGGCUGCCGCGGCGACCCCGUGGGCGGCUCGGGCCCUGUGGGGGCGAGGUCCGGGGAAAAUGAGAUUUCCCAUUUAAUUGCGCGUUUGGUGGCCGCAUUUAGUGACAGACCGUUUGACCACCCUAGGGAAAAAACCUCUGAACACACCCUCUGUCUAAACAGGAAGGGCUUGUAACAGAACGGGUUGUAAACGGUCCUGUUGUAAGUUGACUGCAUCGCUAUCCCAAUUAAAUGGACCUUGUCUGGAGUUGUAAUUCAAGUUCUCCUUAAAAACUACGUUGGCUGGAGAAAAUGAGGCUGGGCGCUUAACGUGUGGAAUGUCAUUACUGAGGAUCAAACUGCAUUUUUUUCCUAGUGGUACGGAGGUGUGCGUCUUGGCACUCAAAGGUUUAAGGUUUCUGGCAGUUUCUAAGACUUUCCAUUCCCCAACUGAGAAGAGAUUGAAGUAUUUUUUUAAGCUGUCUGGGUUGAAAAAUACUGCAAAUUUGUGACAGUUCCCUGAGCAAGUAGGUCAGUUGUUACAGAAUCUCCAUAGAUAAGUCUGGGUAGUACUUCCUUUAUUGAUGCUUAAUACAUUACAGAAAUGUAAUUCCAAGCAAUUGUCAGAGAUGCACUUUAUAUAAAUAUGUUCAUGCAUAUGUUUCAGAUAGAGCUUAUUUCAAAAUCAUUAUCAGUGCACUCAUAUUCUCUUUCUAAAUGAAAUCCAUAUUCCAAAACUACAAAAAUCCUUUUAAAAUCCCUUUUUUCAGCUAUUCUGGCAGAUUCUAAUUAGCUUAAGUUGAGAGAACUUUAACUGGAGCUUCCAGAUGUUUUGUUAUAUAUUCUAGAAAAUGAAACAGAUAGUAUUAUUCUACGUAUAAGAACCUUACAUAAAAUUUUGUUAUGCUUUCACUAGUACAUCUUAUCCAAACAUGGUUAGGAGAGAUGUAGAUGCUAUUUCUGCUAUGAAUAUUCUUAUCCUUUCUCCUUGCAUCUCUCAGUGGAGGGUCCAAAAUAAAAAUGAACUCUGAAAUUCAUGAAGAAGAGCCUUGUGAUGUUAGAACUGACUGGGAUACCCUCCUUCAGAUAAAGCCUAUAACAGUACAUACAAAAUUCUGAGCUACUGGUCUGCUCUCUGAAAACAGAGCAAGCAAAACAGUGCUUAAAUUUUGUAAUUAUCAGUCCCUGACACAGUACAAAAUUAGCUUGGAAAAUAAAUGAAUUUGUAUUUCAAGAAGAAUAGGCAAAACCAACACAACAAUCCCAGACCCCCGAAAAUCUGAUGCUGAAAGCUUUGGAUCACACAUGCUGCCACUAAAAGGCUGGAAGCAAAUAAUGACUAUUUUAGUCAAACCAUUCAAAAUUUAAAAGUGUUAAGGAACGACUCCCUCUCCUAUAAUAAAAACCCUCAGAGCUGUUGAGAAAGAAAAAGUUAAAUAAAAGGAGUAGGCGUGCAGAAAGGGAAUCCUUGUACAAGCACUGUCCAAAAAUCAUCUCUCUAAGCAAUGGCAAUAAAGACCUGGAUCUUACAAAUUGCUGUAGGCCUAGAGAAAACUUUAACUGUAUUUGAAGUGAAUAAUACAUGUACAAGUUACUUUUCAAUUUUGUUUAGCUGUUUUUCCUUGUUAUUAACUGUAUUUGUGCGUGUAAAUAAAGCUUCCGUAAGUAAAUUCUUUCACUUCCACCUUGAUUGUCAGGUUAACUAGCAAAACACAAGGCAUUAUGCAGGGUCUUUUGAGGUAAACUUAAAUUCCAGGUUACCUAAAUGUAAAAUGAUGAAGCAAUAAGAGUGACUGUUAACCAUUUGUCUAAAACUCUAUUUUUGAUCUUCCCAUGAGGAUUAAAAAGCAUUUACUGGGUAAUGUUAAUUGCAGGUACCAGUAGAAAAAUACUGGCAAUUCAGAAGGAAGUUACAGUAAAAGCUGUUUUAGAGGAUCAGGAGAAAAGUCUUUUCAUUACAAAAAGUCACCUUUUAGGCAGACUAGGUGGUCUGAUAGAGGUGGACAUCUCUGGUAUCUGCUGCGCUUGCAGGGGAAGGGAAUUGAAAUCACACGAGGUAAAAGAAGGAAGCAUUAUACAGGUUUCAUCAGCUUUCCUUAAAUGGAACCUUAAAGACUUCAAAAAUAAUGUUGGCCACAGAGCUAACAAUUAUUUGAUAAAAAUAGAAUAGUUCUAAGUUUUAAGUAGUUUAUGAGAAGUGAAAUUUAACUUCAGAUUCAACAACUCCUCUAGCACUGGUAAAACUUGCCUCUGGAAAUCUAAAGCCCUGGAAACUAAAGAGAAAGCUUGAGCAAAGAAGAAGUACCCGUGGCUGAGGAGAACCAGGUUAAAGGAAUGGUUCAGAAGGUCACAGGACAUUAUGGGAUGUUUCUGUGAGCGUUGAGGGAUCUAGCCAGUGUACUGUGUGACCACUUCUAAUUAUCUUUCAAAGUCAUAGUGUUUGGGGAGGGGAAUGUCACCCCUAGAUUCCAGAAGGGCAGGAAAGGAGCAUUGGUAAAAUUAGAGGGAAAUCAGCCCCACCUCAGUACCUGGGAAGGUGAUGGAGCAAAUUCCCCUGACAGCCAUUUUCAAGCUUGCUGACAAGAAGAAGAAGACUGGGAGUUGUGAAUAUGGAUUUCUAAAGAGAAAACUGUGCCUGACCACCUGGUAGUCUUCUGCUGCUCUGAAAUGACUGGCUCAUGAGCAUGGGGAGAGCAGCUAAUACUGUUUAUCUUGACAUUCUCAAGGCUUUUGUACCUUUGUCUCAUAAUAUCCCUUAAAGUAUUUUUCUUUGACUGCUCUUUUGAAAGCAAUACUAGAAUGCCACUAAAAGCCAAUAUAUUUGUAUAGCCUGUGCUACCUAAGUUGUUUUUAACAGUAACUUUACACCGCUUUCCUUGUUGUAUAACCAAGGUGUUAGUGUUUUGUGUAGAUUAGUGAUGCAGAACACAGGAAACCAAUUUCUCUUCUACAACAUGAAUGUUCCUUCUCUUGUGAAUUAAUCAAGAGGCAUAAUCUUCAAAUGCCAAUCUCCUACUACUCACGGUAGACUGCAGGUUCUAACUACUGGUAAUGAUACUCUUCUGUUCUGUUUGUGUUCACACUCAUGUUCCAGUUUCACAGACAUAUGUUUGUCAGAUUAACGUGAAUUAACUUUCGAAUACAGACAAAUCAGAAAAUGUUAACUUCAGAACAUUUCAAAACCAACAGACUUUAUUCUAAACUCCAGCACAACCAUGUGCUUCCCAAGUACAAGAAGUGGCUUUCAUCCCCUUUCCAUUGUUAUACCUUUAAGGUUUAUCAGGUAACUGCUCUCAUUUUUAUGCAUGCCUUAGUAUAAUUUUUGGAGUUUUUUUUAAGAGGACUCAUGUAGAACAGAAAAACAUCUUACAGAAAAAAACCUCUUAGUUCUGUGUAGUAAUCUCCGAUCCACCACAUCUAUAAUCCCAAAAGUUCUAUAAAAUCAUUUUAAAAGAAAGUAUAAAACCAUUUAUAUACCUACCCAGAAAAAUUAUGAAAAUAUUUUUCCCAGAUAAAAUUUCUAGUGUAGUAAUUGUUUUCCCAGAUUCAAGUUUACACAUCUAGAAAUAUUAAAAUCCUGCCUAUGAUGAGAUUCACAGAUGAAUGCUACAUGGUCAGUGUAAGCAGCUGAAACCAGUUUAAACUUGCUGCCUCUGGAUGGCAGUCAGCUGUACAAGUUAGCACUGGUAAACCAAAACAGCUGUGAGAUUUCUGCAUCUGCUUUUUAUCUGUUUUACAGCAAACACAUGAUUGCUGUAUUGAGCAUAGCAGUUUCAAUUAGAAGAGUCCCAUUAGCAGCUCUAGGAGUGUGUUUUACAAUGACAUUGUUCUUCCCAUAAAAUUGCUCGUAUCAAAAAUGGAGUAUCUCUUCUUGACUUACAAUUAUUUUUAAACUUACUUCAAAAUAAGAUGAGGGGGUUAGCUCACUACCUGAGAUAGUGUUGCUGACUCUGAAUCUCCAAGCACAUAUCAACAAAGGAGGAAUAUCUCCACCACUGAGAGACUGAGGGAAAAUGCGCAAAAGCAGUUAAGAUUUGAGAAUCUUAAUCUGAAAACAAAUUCUCCAUCCAGUAACCUUUCAGGGUUUCUACUAAAUUUCUACUUAUGAAAUUUACUAUCUGUUCUAUAGAGAACACUUCUUGGAUUACAGAAGCAUUUUUUCUUCAAAAGGGGAUUUCAGAAAACCGUUUUUAAAAGCCAUAUAAAAGUCUACAUGUCAGUAGAUAAACUAAUAGUUUUAUGAUAUACUUUUAAUACCCAUAUGUGUGACUAUGUAUGUGUAGGGGAAUGAAAGGAAAAUGUAAAAACUCAACUUUUUUCUUUUCUUUUUUUUUUUUUUUUUAAUUAAACUGGGUGUCUGCUGGGAGAUCUGCUACCUCCUGUUUUUCUGGCAGGACAUGCAACUGGAACUGUUUGGGUAGGUGCCCACUGAAAUGAAAAAAGGCAUCUUUCUUCUUUGCCGUGAAGUUAUCCUGCUGGGAAUCACAGCAUGUAAUUCUACAUAAGGAGAUAAUGUUUUUAAACCUCAAAAACCCCUGUCUGAACAAGAGCAACCACUGCCUGUGCUGAUACCCUGCUUCCUGGAAGUGGCUGGACAUCAUUUGCUGAGAACAUUGCAAAAUCAAGCAUAGCAAAGGCAUUUUGGAAGAGAUGAUAUUCAUUAAAAAAAUCCACAGAAGUCUGAGUGGCUCAAGGCAGAGUGGGACUGUCAUUACAUCAUCACUGGGACUAUCACAGGUAAAAAGAUU